CCAUCGGUUGCAGGUAUUAUCAACCCUAGUUCUGAGGGAUUUCAGAAACUCUUCUUUGGCCAGGAGGAAAUUGCUAUCCCAGUUCAUUCGACCACUGAAGCAGCAUGUGCGGUACAUCCUACUGCUGAUGGGUCCAUCAACUUUGCUUCAUUCAGAAGUGCUGCUGCUUCAUCACUGGCUGCUCUAAAACAGCAAACUAUAAGAGUUGUAGCCAUUAUUGCUGAAGGUGUUCCAGAGUAAGACACCAAACAGUUAAUUGCAUAUGCUCGUGCAAACAAUAAGGUGAGAAGAACGCUAGCUAU
Syzygium oleosum is the source of this 302-nucleotide long non-coding RNA. RefSeq lists it as uncharacterized. The record is from RefSeq and is a predicted model, not a curated record. Lineage: Eukaryota; Viridiplantae; Streptophyta; Magnoliopsida; Myrtales; Myrtaceae. The transcript has 3 exons.